This 450-nucleotide ribosomal RNA is filed under the name uncultured bacterium. Its description in RNAcentral is "partial 16S ribosomal RNA". It matches the Rfam family "Bacterial small subunit ribosomal RNA", at positions 354 to 796 of the family's 1533-position model. The record is from RNAcentral.
GUGGGGAAUUUUGGACAAUGGGCGCAAGCCUGAUCCAGCAAUGCCGCGUGCAGGAAGAAGGCCUUCGGGUUGUAAACUGCUUUUGUACGGAACGAAACGGUCCUGACUAAUAUCCGGGGCUAAUGACGGUACCGUAAGAAUAAGCACCGGCUAACUACGUGCCAGCAGCCGCGGUAAUACGUAGGGUGCGAGCGUUAAUCGGAAUUACUGGGCGUAAAGCGUGCGCAGGCGGUGCUGUAAGACAGGCGUGAAAUCCCCGGGCUCAACCUGGGAAUUGCGCUUGUGACUGCAAGGCUGGAGUGCGGCAGAGGGGGAUGGAAUUCCGCGUGUAGCAGUGAAAUGCGUAGAUAUGCGGAGGAACACCGAUGGCGAAGGCAAUCCCCUGGGCCUGCACUGACGCUCAUGCACGAAAGCGUGGGGAGCAAACAGGAUUAGAAACCCCUGUAGUCC